RNAcentral lists this ribosomal RNA (249 nucleotides) under uncultured bacterium. RNAcentral's name for it is "partial 16S ribosomal RNA". It matches the Rfam family "Bacterial small subunit ribosomal RNA", at positions 338 to 605 of the family's 1533-position model. The record is from RNAcentral.
CCUACGGGAGGCAGCAGUGGGGGAUAUUGGACAAUGGGGGGAACCCUGAUCCAGCGACGCCGCGUGAGUGAAGAAGUAUUUCGGUAUGUAAAGCUCUAUCAGCAGGGAAGAAAUGACGGUACCUGACCAAGAAGCCCCGGCUAACUACGUGCCAGCAGCCGCGGUAAUACGUAGGGGGCAAGCGUUAUCCGGAAUUACUGGGUGUAAAGGGAGCGUAGACAGUUAAGUAAGUCUGGGGUGAAAGGCCGG